Molecule: small nuclear RNA, 107 nt
Organism: Artibeus jamaicensis (Jamaican fruit-eating bat)
Lineage: Eukaryota; Metazoa; Chordata; Mammalia; Chiroptera; Phyllostomidae
Source: RefSeq, a predicted model, not a curated record
GUGCUCACUUCAGCAGCAAAUAUACUAAAAUCGGAAUCAUACAGAAGAGAUUAGCAUGGCUCCUGCACAAGGAUGACAUGCAAACUCGUGAAGCAUUCCAUAUUUUU